RNAcentral lists this ribosomal RNA (759 nucleotides) under uncultured Neisseriaceae bacterium. Its description in RNAcentral is "bacterial SSU rRNA". It matches the Rfam family "Bacterial small subunit ribosomal RNA", at positions 28 to 776 of the family's 1533-position model. Lineage: Bacteria; Pseudomonadati; Pseudomonadota; Betaproteobacteria; Neisseriales; Neisseriaceae. The record is from RNAcentral.
AUUGAACGCUGGCGGCAUGCUUUACACAUGCAAGUCGGACGGCAGCGGGGUAGUGCUUGCACUACUGCCGGCGAGUGGCGAACGGGUGAGUAAUAUAUUGGAACGUACCGAGUAAUGGGGGAUAACCAAUCGAAAGAUUGGCUAAUACCGCAUACGCUCUGAGGAGGAAAGCAGGGGACCUUCGGGCCUUGCGUUAUUCGAGCGGCCAAUAUCUGAUUAGCUAGUUGGUGGGGUAAGGGCCUACCAAGGCGACGAUCAGUAGCGGGUCUGAGAGGAUGAUCCGCCACACUGGGACUGAGACACGGCCCAGACUCCUACGGGAGGCAGCAGUGGGGAAUUUUGGACAAUGGGCGCAAGCCUGAUCCAGCCAUGCCGCGUGUCUGAAGAAGGCCUUCGGGUUGUAAAGGACUUUUGUUAGGGACGAAAAAGGAGCGGUUAAUACCCGUUUCUGCUGACGGUACCUAAAGAAUAAGCACCGGCUAACUACGUGCCAGCAGCCGCGGUAAUACGUAGGGUGCGAGCGUUAAUCGGAAUUACUGGGCGUAAAGCGAGCGCAGACGGUUACUUAAGCAGGAUGUGAAAUCCCCGGGCUCAACCUGGGAACUGCGUUCUGAACUGGGUAGCUAGAGUAUGUCAGAGGGGGGUAGAAUUCCACGUGUAGCAGUGAAAUGCGUAGAGAUGUGGAGGAAUACCGAUGGCGAAGGCAGCCCCCUGGGAUAAUACUGACGUUCAUGCUCGAAAGCGUGGGUAGCAAACAGG